UUUAACCUCGCCACAUUCUGUAUGUAUGUGCUUGUCCAAAGUCAGGAGUCUUUAAUUCAGUGGUUUCCGUUUGUUGCUGUCUUACAUAUUUGUUUUUUGUUCAUUUUUUAUACAUAAAUUAGAGCGUUAGUUUUCUCGUUUGAAUUGUUCUACAUUUGUCAUUUCAGGACCUUUUAUAGCUAACUAUGCGGGAUGAGCUUUGCUCAUUGUUGAAGGUCGUACGGUGACCUAUACUUGUUAAUUUUGUGUCACAUGGUCUCUUGUGAAGAGUUGUCUCAUUGGCAAUCAUAUAACAUCUUUUUUUUUUAUAUUAUAUGCUCAUAUGCAUUGAUAAUUUUCUUGAAAUAAUCAUAGAUUUUUGUUAGAUGUAUCCAUCUGAUGAGUUAAGCCUUAUUGUUGUCAAUGUUUUUAUUUGUUUUGAUGCUUCAUAUGAUUACAGGAUAUUUUCUAGUGUUUUACCUCUUAUUUUUUACGUGGCGAGGAUCUUCAGAGGUCUCCACGUUUCACAGAUUGCUCUGUUUUGCCAGACAAGCUGGG
Molecule: long non-coding RNA, 537 nt
Filed under: Mytilus galloprovincialis (Mediterranean mussel)
Lineage: Eukaryota; Metazoa; Mollusca; Bivalvia; Mytilida; Mytilidae
Source: RNAcentral